This 1953-nucleotide long non-coding RNA is filed under the name Bemisia tabaci. Its description in RNAcentral is "lncRNA ENSSSA3NGG013899". The record is from RNAcentral. Lineage: Eukaryota; Metazoa; Arthropoda; Insecta; Hemiptera; Aleyrodidae.
AAAAAUUUCACCAAAAAGUCUAGUUCAGAUUGAAACUUAGGGUCUGUUAGUCAAAGGGGUGUCUGGUGUCUUUUAUAUUUCUUUUCCAUCCAUUACUUUCAGAAUACAAAUAUAUUAUCUUUCUCCUAGUUUCUGGACUCCGUCAGCAUUGCAAUUGAGAUAUGCAAUUUCGCAUUUAGCCACCACCACACAGCUUUAACUAUGUUUGAAAAGUUUUCAGAUUUGAAAGAGAAUAGGGAGGACACCUUUUCUUUAGCAUGAAUGAAUGUUUCUAGAAUGAAAGAUGUUGAGAGUUGUGUGGCAAUUUCAGUCAGUUCCUGAGGAUUCUCCAUGGUUUGCGGUAUGUAUCCACAGAUUUGCCACAUAAAUCUGGCAGAGGAAAGUUAAAACAAAAAUAUAAUUGUUAAUAUCUAAAGAGAGAAAAAAAUCAAUAAUGGGUCUACUGGUUUUUUUGUUCUUUUUUACUCUUAUAAAGCUUUAGUUCAACUGCAAGUGUAGUUAAGAUGACCAGAGUAACAUUCGAAUGUAGAACUGAAUGACUAAAAACUAAUAUUAUACUAUAUUUGCAGUUUGCACAUAUAAAUAAUAAUCUAAGUGUCAAUAUUAUUGAAGAAAGUCGUUAUUAUUUUGACGAAAGCUGUUAGACCAAAGGAUCUCAUAUCGAGGUUUUACUUCAUUAUUAAAAUAUAAAGAGGUAUCUUCCGAUAAACUCUUGAUAUUAUGGCGGAAAAAAGUUGAUGAUGCAUGAUUUUGAUGUGGCAUUUUAAAACCAAUGACUUUUAUUCGAUUCUUUCUAUUCUCCCCUAGUUUUCUGAUGGAAAAAAAUUAUUGACAUUUUUAGUUUUUCUGAAUGCUUGCUUCUCUAAAUAUUCACACCAGAGUUUUCAAAACUUGAGUCGUUUCAAAUAUUAAUAUUGAAUUUCUUACUAGCUAUCACUGGACUUCAGACACUUCAAAUAGAAAUAAUCUAGAUCAAGACCUGAUAAAAGAGUUCUUUUCUGGAAAACUUACUGGAAGUAGGUGUGCUCAAAAAAUUUUUGUCAUGCAAGAAUUUGCGGUUGUCUUCCCAGAUCCAGUUCUCAAGAUCUGCGCUUAGCUUUAUAUUUGAUACAUGGGAAUCAAUUGGUUUCGGUGACUCUGACACAUGUGCUGAUGAGUUCGGUGACACAUCUAUCUCUUUUGAAUUCCCUUCCAGGCCAUCUUUCUCAUUCUUUUCUCUCUCCUCUAACGUUUCUUCUGAGAAACAAACACGAGUAGGAAUGGAUCAUUCCCGAUCAAGUCAGGCCACCAUGACCGAGAAAUAUCAAAAACGAUAUUGAGGAAAAGGUCUACGUUGAUGAACUAAAGUUUACAACUUACCAAGGAAACAACAUUAUUACUGAUGACACCACCAAACAGAGUUUUCACCAUGGAUUUUAAAUCUGAAUCCAUCUCCUCCAGUUUUGAGACCAGGUCAAUGAAAAACUCGGCCAUAUCUUUUUGUUCUCCUGUGUUUAACGGCUGAUGGUACAUAGUGUACACUCGGCAAAAGCUUCGUGGAUCGUACGAUUUCCUCUCACUUUCCUGUAAUCACAGAAAGAAAACGUUAAAGAGAUUAUUAGAGCAAAAUGCAACUUACAAUGCAGGGAACUUCGACGGUGUGAGUCGGCAUCACAUAUCUCGUUUGCGUGUCUGAAAAUCUCCGCCUCUAUGUUAUCUUUUUAAAGGAGAACAAAUUGACAUCAUUCCUUGAAGUUUUUGCAGAAUUGUUUUCAUACAGAGAAGAAAAAUCACGGCAGUUUUAAAGAAUUUCCAUUGAGUAGUUUUCUGUUUAAAAAAUAAAGUAUGACAGGAAGUCUGCGACGUUGCAAACUGAGUUAUGUGAUUGCUAUUUAACUUGAAGAUAAAAUUAAAGUCCAAAAAUUUGAUCAGGAAUCGAGUUCAUUAAAUAUUACAAAUGAGAAUAAGGCUAAU